UACGAAGGGGGCUAGCGUUGCUCGGAAUCACUGGGCGUAAAGGGUGCGUAGGCGGGUCUUUAAGUCAGGGGUGAAAUCCUGGAGCUCAACUCCAGAACUGCCUUUGAUACUGUAGAUCUUGAGUUCGGGAGAGGUGAGUGGAACUGCGAGUGUAGAGGUGAAAUUCGUAGAUAUUCGCAAGAACACCAGUGGCGAAGGCGGCUCACUGGCUCGGUACUGACGCUGAGGUGCGAAAGCGUGGGGAGCAAACAGG
This 253-nucleotide ribosomal RNA is filed under the name uncultured bacterium. RNAcentral describes it as "partial 16S ribosomal RNA". It matches the Rfam family "Bacterial small subunit ribosomal RNA", at positions 524 to 776 of the family's 1533-position model. The record is from RNAcentral.